This 752-nucleotide ribosomal RNA is filed under the name uncultured bacterium. Its description in RNAcentral is "bacterial SSU rRNA". It matches the Rfam family "Bacterial small subunit ribosomal RNA", at positions 33 to 780 of the family's 1533-position model. The record is from RNAcentral.
ACGCUGGCGGCAGGCCUAACACAUGCAAGUCGAGCGGUAGAGAGAAGCUUGCUUCUCUUGAGAGCGGCGGACGGGUGAGUAAUGCCUAGGAAUCUGCCUGGUAGUGGGGGAUAACGUUCGGAAACGGACGCUAAUACCGCAUACGUCCUACGGGAGAAAGCAGGGGACCUUCGGGCCUUGCGCUAUCAGAUGAGCCUAGGUCGGAUUAGCUAGUUGGUGAGGUAAUGGCUCACCAAGGCAACGAUCCGUAACUGGUCUGAGAGGAUGAUCAGUCACACUGGAACUGAGACACGGUCCAGACUCCUACGGGAGGCAGCAGUGGGGAAUAUUGGACAAUGGGCGAAAGCCUGAUCCAGCCAUGCCGCGUGUGUGAAGAAGGUCUUCGGAUUGUAAAGCACUUUAAGUUGGGAGGAAGGGCAUUAACCUAAUACGUUAGUGUUUUGACGUUACCGACAGAAUAAGCACCGGCUAACUCUGUGCCAGCAGCCGCGGUAAUACAGAGGGUGCAAGCGCUAAUCGGAAUUACUGGGCGUAAAGCGCGCGUAAGUGGUUUGUUAAGUUGGAUGUGAAAUCCCCGGGCUCAACCUGGGAACUGCAUUCAAAACUGACUGACUAGAGUAUGGUAGAGGGUGGUGGAAUUUCCUGUGUAGCGGUGAAAUGCGUAGAUAUAGGAAGGAACACCAGUGGCGAAGGCGACCACCUGGACUAAUACUGACACUGAGGUGCGAAAGCGUGGGGAGCAAACAGGAUUA